GAUGAACGCUAGCGGCAGGCCUAAUACAUGCAAGUCGAACGGGCGGUAGCAAUACCGCUCGUGGCGCACGGGUGCGUAACGCGUAACCAACCUGCCCAGAUCUGGGGGAUAGCCCGCCGAAAGGCGGAUUAAUACCGCAUAAACCCACAGUGUGGCAUCACAUAAUGGGUAAAGAUUUAUCGGAUCUGGAUGGGGUUGCGUAGCAUUAGCUAGUUGGCGGGGUAAUGGCCCACCAAGGCGACGAUGCUUAGGGGACCUGAGGGGGUGAUCCCCCACACUGGCACUGAGAUACGGGCCAGACUCCUACGGGAGGCAGCAGUAGGGAAUAUUGGGCAAUGGGCGAGAGCCUGACCCAGCCAUGCCGCGUGCCGGAUGAAGGCCUUCUGGGUUGUAAACGGCUUUUCUCAGGGAAGAAAACGGGGAUGCGUCCUCAACUGACGGUACCUGAGGAAUAAGCACCGGCUAACUCCGUG
This 473-nucleotide ribosomal RNA is filed under the name uncultured bacterium. Its description in RNAcentral is "partial 16S ribosomal RNA". It matches the Rfam family "Bacterial small subunit ribosomal RNA", at positions 28 to 507 of the family's 1533-position model. The record is from RNAcentral.